This is a long non-coding RNA of Triticum dicoccoides, 125 nucleotides long. RefSeq lists it as uncharacterized. The transcript is spliced from 3 exons. NCBI's taxonomy places the organism in Eukaryota, Viridiplantae, Streptophyta, Magnoliopsida, Poales, Poaceae. The record is from RefSeq and is a predicted model, not a curated record.
GGUGGUCCAUGGUGCCUUCGUCGUUGUCGUCCUCGGCAGAAGAUGUGUGCAGAUCGAACGAAGAAGAGAAGAGGAAGGAUCUUGAGGAAGAGGAAAAAACAAGGCAAUGGGACUGUUGACCGGGU